Molecule: small nucleolar RNA, 103 nt
Rfam family: Small nucleolar RNA snR62
UGAAAUGAUGAAUUACAUUUAUUAUCUUAUCUACAUUAUCUGAAGUAUUAAUAGCUAACAAUAGCAAUUAAUUGAAGAUACACGAAUCAACACAAUUCUGACC